UACGUAGGGUGCAAGCGUUAAUCGGAAUUACUGGGCGUAAAGGGCGCGUAGGCGGCCGCCUAAGUCAGACGUGAAAUCCCUCGGCUCAACCGGGGAACUGCGUCUGAUACUGGGUGGCUUGAAUCCGGGAGAGGGAUGCGGAAUUCCAGGUGUAGCGGUGAAAUGCGUAGAUAUCUGGAGGAACACCGGUGGCGAAGGCGGCAUCCUGGACCGGCAUUGACGCUGAGGCGCGAAAGCCAGGGGAGCAAACGGG
This 253-nucleotide ribosomal RNA is filed under the name uncultured bacterium. Its description in RNAcentral is "partial 16S ribosomal RNA". It matches the Rfam family "Bacterial small subunit ribosomal RNA", at positions 524 to 776 of the family's 1533-position model. The record is from RNAcentral.